GAUGAACGCUGGCGGCGUGCCUAAUACAUGCAAGUCGAGCGAACGGACGAGAAGCUUGCUUCUCUGAUGUUAGCGGCGGACGGGUGAGUAACACGUGGAUAACCUACCUAUAAGACUGGGAUAACUUCGGGAAACCGGAGCUAAUACCGGAUAAUAUUUUGAACCGCAUGGUUCAAAAGUGAAAGACGGUCUUGCUGUCACUUAUAGAUGGAUCCGCGCUGCAUUAGCUAGUUGGUAAGGUAACGGCUUACCAAGGCAACGAUGCAUAGCCGACCUGAGAGGGUGAUCGGCCACACUGGAACUGAGACACGGUCCAGACUCCUACGGGAGGCAGAAGUAGGGAAUCUUCCGAAAUGGGCGAAAGCCUGACGGAGCAACGCCGCGUGAGUGAUGAAGGUCUUCGGAUCGUAAAACUCUGUUAUUAGGGAAGAACAUAUGUGUAAGUAACUGUGCACAUCUUGACGGUACCUAAUAAGAAAGCCACGGCUAACUACGUG
This 497-nucleotide ribosomal RNA is filed under the name uncultured bacterium. RNAcentral's name for it is "partial 16S ribosomal RNA". It matches the Rfam family "Bacterial small subunit ribosomal RNA", at positions 28 to 507 of the family's 1533-position model. The record is from RNAcentral.